Molecule: ribosomal RNA, 253 nt
Filed under: uncultured bacterium
Lineage: Bacteria
Description: partial 16S ribosomal RNA
Rfam family: Bacterial small subunit ribosomal RNA
Source: RNAcentral
GACGAACCGUGCGAACGUUGUUCGGAAUCACUGGGCUUAAAGGGUGCGUAGGCGGGUUGUCCAGUCUGGGGUGAAAUCCCACGGCUCAACCGUGGAAUUGCCUCAGAUACUGACGACCUCGAGGGAGGUAGGGGCGAGCGGAACUGUGGGUGGAGCGGUGAAAUGCGUUGAUAUCCACAGGAACUCCGGUGGCGAAGGCGGCUCGCUGGACCUCUUCUGACGCUGAGGCACGAAAGCUAGGGGAGCAAACGGG